CAAGAAUCUAGUUUAGUAUUUACAGGUGGCCAGCAAGGCACGGCAGAAGCUGAGGAUUUAUUGUGGGUCUUUACCCUGAGGCACAGAGACGGCUGCACCUGUGCAGGUGAUAAGAUCAUGAACUGCACCCUUUGCCUUACUUUUUUGUUGUAAAUAAUUUGCCUGAUUCAAUGCCAUAUUAUGGAAGAAUUUCUUAACUGUGAUGAAAGCACUUGGAAAAUCCUCAAAUAAUAUUUCAUGCAGACAUAUAACUGAAAGAAAGACAAAUGCAUAUACAGGAAAACAACUGCUGCUCUUCUCAUGUUGGAUGAGGCCUGCUAAAAACACCUGACACCAGCUGUUAGUCUGAUCCUUGAUGUCUGGUACAAUCUUGGGUUAUUCUCCUUGGAAAAGUGGAUGCUCAGAAGUGCCAGUAUCCCCGGAAUAAGUCUCUUGAGAUCUGAUGGUUUUAUGAAGAGGAGUUCUGCACAAGCUGUCUCUCUUUGCCUUUUGCCAUCCACGUAAGUGACACAAGCAGAAUCAACCUUUGGAAGAUCAUCUAUUUCCUGCUGGGUUGACUGGAAUGUGUGAUACGACCUAAGUAACUGACAGCCUGUGUGCAGAGUUCCUAAAUAACGAAGCCAGACCAUCAUUGCUAUGGGUGAAGCCAGGAAGUGACUGUGGAUGUGAACAAAUGUGAGAUUCAUGUACACGUCUCCAAAGACAGAGGCCACUGAUCUGGGGAGAACCUGCAGUCAUUUCACUUUCCCAUACCCAGAUGAGAGGACACCUUGAUCUGUGUUCAUCUGAUGAACUCUAAAAUCUGGACCAUAUUCUGAAGGUGUAGUUCACACUUCUUUUCUGUGCUAGUGGGACUCUCUCACUGACGUGUAUUGUACCCUCUGCAUAGGACAGUCUGUGAUACAUACUACUUGUUUUCUGCUAAACACCCAUCAAUCAUGUCAUUUAUGAGUCUUCCAUAGGUGUUACCUAACCUAUGGCUAUGGGGUCUUCCAAAAGAAUGGGCCAGAGGUGGAGCUGUGAAACUGUAGCUGGAUAAAAAGUGUAAAUGUCAAGAAAGGGUAUUGAAGUGGUGAUAAUAAUAAUAAUAAUCCAAAUUAGUCUGGGCUCUUGGCUGUGAUUACUGGUAAAUGUGAAAGAGUCUAGGUUUGGUUUUUAUUAGUUUUAUUUCAACUGAUAAAGUAGCCAGAGUAAAGUGCAUAAAUCUUGAAUGUUCAACUGAAUACAGUUUUUGUGUAAUUCAUUGUCCGAAUGGAAUGAUAGAAUAUUUCACAUUCCCUUGUGCUUCCCUCAUGGACAAUCUUUGUCAGUUAUCACCCCUCUCACCCAGC
RNAcentral lists this long non-coding RNA (1331 nucleotides) under Homo sapiens (human). RNAcentral describes it as "HSALNT0035568". The record is from RNAcentral. Lineage: Eukaryota; Metazoa; Chordata; Mammalia; Primates; Hominidae.